This is a long non-coding RNA of Coffea eugenioides, 1732 nucleotides long. RefSeq lists it as uncharacterized. The transcript has 5 exons. The record is from RefSeq and is a predicted model, not a curated record. NCBI's taxonomy places the organism in Eukaryota, Viridiplantae, Streptophyta, Magnoliopsida, Gentianales, Rubiaceae.
CCCAUUUCUUGGAUUUUCCGUCUGAUGUUCCUCAAACUUUAGAAGGUCCAAAUUCCCAAACAGUGCUUGAGUUGAGCCAACCACACACUUGUAUUGACAAUAGUGCUACUCAACGUUUGGUUGGUCUUGAGUCCCUUGAGAAAUUACAUGUUCGAUUUUGCAAUUCACUCAAGUCGAUUUCAAUCCCCAAGGGAGACAAGUACCUCACUGCCUUGCGAGGAAUUAGAAAUUUCCUAUUGCGAUAGGUUGACCCACUUGUCCAUCCCCCAGCUAUCUGAGUCAGAGUGGGAUUCCACUUCCUCGCCCUCCCUCUCCGCUACUUCUCCUCCUCCUCUUCUACCUCUCGAGAAAUUGAAAGUAGACUGCUGCCCCGAUCUGAUCUCCUUUCCAAUUGAUUUAACCCGAACACCUUCUCUCUCUUACCCUAGACAUAUCAUAUUGUCCCAAAAUAACGGACUUGCCCAAGGGGAAGCUUUGUUCUCUUACAAGCUUGAGAACCUUAUCGAUUGGACCAUUCUCAGAAACCACAGAGUUGCAUUCCUUCCUAUACCUCUUUGAUGCUCUCCCACCACCGCACCCCUACUUCCCCUCCCUUUCAAAAUUAAUUCUGCGUGGAUGGUCUCAUUGGGAAUCUCUGCCCGAGCAACUUCAGGGCCUCUCUGCCCUAACAACUCUUUUUUUAGAAGGUUUUGGAGUGAAAUCAUUGCCCGAUUGGUUUGGGAAGCUUUCGUCACUUGAACAACUUUGUCUCUUGGAUUGUAAAAAGCUAGAGAAUUUACCCUCUCACCAAUCUAUGAGAAGCCUCACCAGACUAAGAUACCUGGAGAUUGGCGGUGUCCCCUUCUAAAGGAAAGAUGUAAACCAGAGAGCAGCAGUAGCAGCACCACCGAAUCCAAUUCUGAGUGGUCGAAGAUCUCCGGCAUUCCCCAAAUUGUAAUUGAUGAGCAGCAAAUCAGAGGCUAAUCCCCAUUUGAAGCUCAUAAAUAACGUCAGUUUUCCCAAUUAAAGCUACUAGCCUAACUUCUACUCAAUAAUUGAUGCGAACUAUUUUUCCUUCGUCCUGUGCGCUUUUGCUUUCUAGGCGGUUUUGAGUCUAGCUUGAGAGUCUACUCUCAGAUUGAUAAAUUGUGGAAGAAUAUAUGAGGCUGACAACGACAGAUCAUUCUGGCUAGCUGCGGGGAUUCUCAUGCAUGAGGUUAAAUAACAGAGCUAUGGAUGAGCAAUACAUGGGAAAGCCACUGGUCGGAUUUUUAAGUUGUGAUGACAACUGCUGCAAAUGAGGCUUGUCAGCCCUUUUAAAGAAACAUAACCUAGUCGAAUUGAGAAGCUUUCGUCUGUUGAAGGGUUCUAAGUUGGCAAAUGCAAAAAGCUUGAGUGGUAAUCCUUCCACCAAUCCACCAGAAGGCUUGAGUGGAUAUAGGAUGCGUAUCUUUUGAUUUAUAGGGAAGAUGAUGUCACAAGGGGAGCUGCCCCAACAGUGAGUGAUGCAAGAGCUAUGAGAUUUUCUACUUUGAUCAUAUUCUAAUUGGAUGCUAAGUUGUCACAAUCUGCUUAAAUUCUAAGAAAACUGAAGUCUACACUGAGUGUGUUAAUGAUUUAGUCAAUUCUGUGUAUUCUAUAAUAUGCUAUCUUCAGUUCUGUAUAUUCAGUCUCAUGAUGCUAUACAAUCUUUUGGCAUUUUGCUUGACAGACCCUUGUUGCUAUACGUGAAAGUGAAUUGAGUAUUAGAACA